Molecule: ribosomal RNA, 377 nt
Filed under: uncultured bacterium
Lineage: Bacteria
Description: bacterial SSU rRNA
Rfam family: Bacterial small subunit ribosomal RNA
Source: RNAcentral
AUACGUAGGUGGCGAGCGUUGUCCGGAAUUACUGGGCGUAAAGGGCGCGUAAGCGGCCAAUUAAGUCAGAUGUGAAAACCCCAGGCUUAACUUGGGGAGUGCAUUUGAAACUGGAUGGCUAGAGUGUCGGAGAGGGAAGCGGAAUUCCUAGUGUAGCGGUGAAAUGCGUAGAUAUUAGGAGGAACACCAGUGGCGAAGGCGGCUUUCUGGACGAUAACUGACGCUGAGGCGCGAAAGCGUGGGGAGCAAACAGGAUUAGAUACCCUGGUAGUCCACGCUGUAAACGAUGGAUACUAGGUGUGGGAGGUAUCGACCCCUUCCGUGCCGCAGUAAACGCAAUAAGUAUUCCGCCUGGGGAGUACGGUCGCAAGAUUAAA